Molecule: long non-coding RNA, 210 nt
Filed under: Nicotiana benthamiana
Lineage: Eukaryota; Viridiplantae; Streptophyta; Magnoliopsida; Solanales; Solanaceae
Description: long non-coding RNA (NBEN_LNC028421)
Source: RNAcentral
UCACAAGCAUGUAACCAUGGUUACAUAUAUGUAACCUUAGUUAGCCCAUCAUUACCUAAGAUUACCCUUUUGGGUAUCUACACAUUAGUCCUACACUUUUUAUGACAAUACAUUUGCCCCCUUAACAUAAUGUCCAUAAGACCACAAAAUUAGGCCAAAUCAAAAGAUAGCACAUAACAUAUAAUUUAUCCAUAUAUUGUUCAUAUGUAU